This is a long non-coding RNA of Ornithodoros turicata, 8093 nucleotides long. RefSeq lists it as uncharacterized. The record is from RefSeq and is a predicted model, not a curated record. The transcript is spliced from 3 exons. Lineage: Eukaryota; Metazoa; Arthropoda; Arachnida; Ixodida; Argasidae.
CCGCUGUGAAGGACGCUGUCGUCUGCCGCCAAGUCUGGGGCUGCUUUGUUUUUUCCGACACGUCGCCCGUAUUCACAUGUGACACUUUCUAGUGACGCGGAUACUAUCUCUACGCUUGCAUCCUUCGCGUGAGAUGUCGUUUGGAAACCGACGCAGCGUUCCUGACUCCAGGAAAACUUCCUUCGAAAACGUCGAUGUUGAUUUCGCACGCCUAGGAUACAGCUACAGCCAGACCCCAGACGAAGCGAAAGUUGGAAGCAGCUACAUCACUAGCGGGUAUCCAGAUGAAGCAAGGAGUGUUCAUGCUGUCCGUGUAUGCACCUCGCAUUUCACCGAUAAUGUGUACCUGGAUGAGAACAUCAUUCAAGUGCAACUUGGAUUGACACAAAAAAGGAACGAAUUGAAACUUGACGCCGUUCCGACAGUGUUCCACGAACAAAGCGAGCCAGAAACUUCGACAGUAAGUCACAAUAUCUAUGUAUAGUUUCCCAAUCGGAUCUGUCACUCUUGCGCGUGAGUAAUUUAGCAGCAAAAGACGAAAUCGGUACAACGUAAGGUGUCCCCUAACCUAUGAUUAAUAACUAGAUAAAUAAAAUACAAUAAACAAGUAAAAGAACAUUAUGUCACCUCAUUCACAUGAACGUGAUUGGCUUUUCUCGUUGUCGGACGCGUUAUCAUGAAACUUUCCCUGUUACUGAACCUGUGACUUUUGUGGAAUGUGGUAGACAUGAUUGGUUUUCAUGAGUAUUACAGCUGCAAUCAGCUCGACAGGGUCAAGCGCAAGUGGUACGUAUAUUACUUAAAUACAUAUAAUGUGUUUACAAUUUUUGGACACAGAACAAUUCGCAAACUAUGAACCCCGAUCACUAAAAGGAAGAACUGACGCUGUUUGUGUGCUGGUGUUAGAAACAGGCACUAUAUAUAUACAAGCAGUACCUCUGUCCCUAACAUAAGCGCCAUAGACCACUUCCCAGUUUCCUUUUAUCUCCCUGUUUGUGAACUGUUUGUGUGCUGCAGGGUGGCGGCUUUUGCGAUUGUCAUAGCCAACUUGAGGUGCAUUUUUGACGUUCUGUGUAAUAGAAGGACCAGGUGCUGCUGACCCAAGUCCCAUCCAUCCAUGAAACGGCAUCAAACAAUGUACGUGUGUGCACGGCAGUUUUGCUGAGAGACCUGGUUUUUACACUAUAAUGUCUUUACGAUGCCUCUGACAAAUUACGAUCUUCCAGAACAGUGCUUUCUUCAUCCAAGUUCAAGAAGUAAAGAGAAUGACUUCAUGGCUUCUACUGACAUCUCACAGCUACAUGCCAAGACAAAAUAACUUGAAAGAAGGAAAAGAAAAAAAAAGAAAAAGAAGAAAAAAGGUCCGUUUCAGGUCCACCCAAAUCUUUGUGCAGAGGCUGACAACAACAACGUUAUUGUGAGAUGAUGCUGAUGCAGCGUUGAGAUUAAGCCCUUGUUUCCUUUUUUGCAAUGCUAUACAUUACUGCUGGUUAAAUGUAAAAUGAUGCACCUACCUCCAGACAUUAAAGGGGCUACGAGAGAUCUAGUGUCAAUUCAACAGAAAAGCUGCAUGUUCUACGAGGCACUGUCACAUAAGCAUUGGCCAAAUUUGCUGUCCUGUGAGCUUUGAUAGGAUAUGCCGUAGAUAUAGUAGGAGGCCUCUUACUGUAAAAGGGAGGUGCAUUAUUCGUGCAUUAGUAGUGGGGUCUGAGGCAUGAGGGUCAUUUCAGGAUGUACUAACCCUUCCAAAAUUUUACACUUGGUUGUGCCCAGAGAUUGAUCCAGAUCCCCCCCAACACCCCGAGUUUUUUUCCUGUGUACCACUGUUACAAUGAAACCGUCCGAUUUCAUUGCAAUUGAAGUACUUAGGAAACUUUUUUUUUUUGUGAGUCCCCGCUGCAGAUCCCAAGGGACAUUGCCAGUGUGGUGCACGCUGAUAACUGUCUGUGCAUAGCAAAUAAUAAAUACCUGUGCGUGAAGAGUUGGAUGUGGACUUGUGCAAUGGCUCUUGAAUGGACAACACUCAGUCAACACAAAGAUUUAUUCACAUUUGCAUAACCUAUUGCCUGCCGUUAUAAUAAUUAUUAUAAUACAUAGACAAGAGGUAAUGCUCUGUCAAGGAUCUCUGAAUUUACAGUCUUGAAAGCUAUUUUCAAAACAGUGGUGCUAAAAAAAUUGGAUCAAUGGCAGGUAUCAAAAUUUGUUUUGCUGUAUCAAGGCAGAACAAUCUUCCGUGGGAAUGACAAAUUGUGGACAUUCCCAGACAGAUGUAUCACUUACUAUGAUAAUGAGGUGUAACUGUACCAUUAGUGAGUUAUGAAACGUUACCUGAAAUUAUUUGACGUGUUAUAUCCCUCACAUGCUAUAAUACUGUCAACGAUAAGAAGCAUUACACUACCAUUAAAAGUAUAACUGUCACUUAUGGCCAGGUAGUUUAUUGCUCCUGCCUAUUCCUUUGCACUUCUCGGGAUUACUGUGGCAACACAGAUUCUGUUUCACACUUCUCAAUUGGAAACUACGCAAGUCUAUUAUGGUGUAGGUGUGAACAGGAAAUGAGGCACACUAAAGAUGAUAGUCCUGAUAGGACCGGGAUGGAAAAACGUUGGCGAAUCAUGCAGACGACACACCCAGGUAUCUGUCGUCUGUUUCUCGGUCCAAGGAAUCUCCAAACUCAGCUUGUAAACACACAAUAAGCAGUGAACCUGACGUAGCUGUAAAAAAGAAAGGACACUUUGCUGUAUAUUUAGUUGACCAUUAUGAAGUGUUUUUUUUUGCCCAAAACGAGCACUGGAUGCAGGUUGCUUGAUCGCUCUUCCGACGUUCAAUCGAGCACACUUGCAUUUUAUCCGGCGGCAAAUACAGUUUGAGUGCAUAAUAUACUUGAAAGAACAUGUUACACUACACAGUUAGUGUUGUCACCAAUAUAUGUGCAAGCACUCGAGCGCUUUUUUGCAUGCAUUGCUAGCAUGGUACACGGUGUUCUCUGCGGAAGCAAGUGCCACAUUCAUUUCUUUGAAUUACCUUCGAGCACACGUUCGGUAUUACGUCAUAAUGAGACCACGAUUGUCACUUUUUUCAUGUAUUGGUAUUGUUUUGUGCCUUGGUUUGAUUUUUGACAAAGGAUCCUACGUAACGGUGGUGUGGUGCGACUUGAAUAACGCCUUUGUGUCUGAGCUGUAUCGCCAGCUUGUUACGAUAGUAAUAAUUUGUAGCGUGUCGUGCUAUUUGUAGCAGUUUUUAAGGCAAAAGUGGUCUCUCAAUACAGGUUUCGUCAUGAGGGCUACCCAGUGAAUAAUCUGUGCAGUGUGAUACGGCUGGGUGUACAGGUUACUUCACAGCUGCCUCGACAUACUCAAGAAAUGGGUGCAGAACCUACGUAAUGCCCACAAACUUUGACUGCCACAGCACCUCCAGAAAAUAAGGUGAUGCUCGCACAGGAUGGAAAGUUCAUGGAAAGAAUGCUGGAGAGGUGGAGUGUUCUCGAUGGCAUCACGUGGUGUGUUCUUACUCCUCUAGUACAGUGUUUCCCAAACUUUUGGCGGUGACGGACCCCCGGAAGCGAUGAGAACCAAUUCACGGAAUCCCCCCCCCCACACACACCGUCACAGCCAGUGUAUAACCAGCAACCUCGUCAGCUGCUGCGUGCUUUCGAUACAGCUUCAGAAACGAUUCCGGACUGGUUUCUUCUUGUUUGUAUGUGUAUGACGCGGACAAACGUGCAUUGCAGGACUUUUCUAUCAGAAAUGAGAAGCUAGCCGUUGAAGCAUGCUUGUAGCAAUUUUGGAAGUUCUGGGUGUUUGGAAAUCGGGCAGCAUGUACGAGCACGUGUUUGUGGGGACGAAAAUCCUCAUUGAAAUGUGAGAGACGGUCGCGGACCCCCAUGGACAGUUUUGCGGACCACACUUUGGGAAACACUGCUCUAGUAGAGGAGUCUUCUUCACCAUCAGGACCAUCAGGAGGAGAUGGCCUUCCUCAGCAUGAGUUGGCAGUGAUAGAAUGUACAAGCGAGCGCACAUUUCUGGCCCCACUCGUGGCUACUGCCGUUACAACUGACUAACUGGCACGCCUUUGCAGGCUGCCAAAGGUAAUUUUUUUCUUGCAUGUUGCCUACAUCGUGAAACACUUGGACCUUUGUGGUGGAUGACAGGAACAUAUGAAGUCCUAUAAUUUGCGGUGUUCACUCUAGAGGUGUCACCUGAUGAAGUGUGCCGCUUUCACUAUUACGAAUAAUCUUCGUCGGAUUCGUUGUCCUCAAAGUUGAUAGUUUUACACUGUUGGCGUUCAUGUGGGGCGAACAGGCACCUCUGGCAUCAUUGCUGUUGUUUGACCUCUCUCUUUUAUAGACUUAGGCUGCUCAGAUGGAAUCCUGUAGAUCAAACAUAUGGAAUGUUCAGAAUCUGGCUGUCCACUGUUGAGAUAAACCUAGUCACUUCUGAAAGGAAGAAGGCCACAAAACGAGAUGAUUUGUUCUUUCAACACAGUGCAUGAUUAUCAUUAUAUAUGUUCAGACUGACAACCACAAUGCAAUAUUUACUAGCAGCUUUUCUUUUUUAUUUUCAUGUAUAUAUAAUAUGUGCUCCAUACUGCACAAUGAUUCUCACUAGGGUUCCACAUAGCUUCACAAUGCGUAUACAAAGAGGGGAGUCAAGUCCUGUAGAUCACAUAAACAAAAUACAGAAGCCGACACUGAAGAUCUUCAGUGUCGGCUUCUGUAUUUUGUUUAUAGCUUCACAAUUUUAGUUUUUCUUUACAUCGAGCCAGGAGUGGAUUAAAAAUUGGUACGAUGUUAAUAUAAGUAGCAUACAAAAAUAUUUCCAAAUUAGGUCCACAUGAACAAAACUGCACAAAGUGAAUUGAAAAGAAUGUGAAAAAAAAAAAAAAAAUUAGAGAGCAAAAAAUAUAGCACAAGUGUACAACAUGUGGAAAGAAAACACACACACACAUAACCAGUUCUUGAAUCGCUUGACGAUGGUACCGGGAAGGCGGUUCCACUACAACGACAUACGAGGAAAAAAUGAAUUCAGAAAUGACUUCCUUGAGCAUAAGGGAAUACCCACUUUCUACGGGUGAUCGGCACAAUAUGAGAUAUAUGUAGGCUGUUGUACCAAAGAUUCUCUGAGGUGAUUAUUAUGAAUGAUAAUAAAUCUUGUCGAAACAAAGACUAGUUAUUUUUCGACAAGUGCAAAGUAGAAGCAGAUGGAGGAUAUGUUUCAUAGCAGUGAUACUGGCGUUGUAGUUACCAAAUAUGAACAGGCUGCCUUGCAUUGUACUGUUUCUAUCGAGUUUGAAAUGUUGGUGUGGUCGGUAUCCCACACAGAGCCGUGUCUUCCAACUUAGGAAAGGCUAGUGAUUUAUACAGUCACUCAUUGUGUUAGUUGGAGUGGAUGAAAAACCAGCGAUGUAACCUGGAGCUCGAAAUGCGUUGGUAGUGAUGUGUUCAACAUGAGGGAGCCAGGACAGGUUAGAUGAAAUGAAAAUGCUGAGGUAUUUGUGAAGUGAUACCCAGAGACCGUGGUGAUACUGAUUCAAAUGGAAUGUUAUUAAUGGAAUAAGUCAUAUGCACUUUAUUAGAGCGAGAAAUUAUCACAGAUUUACAUUUUGAUAAGUUGCAUGUGGCAGGUAUGAUACCACCAGAAAGCUUAAUGUGGUCAGUGUGAAGGACAUAAUUCCAUAUCAGAAUUGGUAGUAAUCUGACAACAGAUGACACAAUCAUCAGGACAAAAAUGAGGUGGAUUUACCCAGAAUUUGGUCCUUUGGGGGGGGGGUAUAUGUAUGUGACGUAUAAAAGAUGAGGUGCAGCGCGCGCAAUAAACAUAUGUUCGUUCCUCGAUUCACUGACCGCUCCGUUCCUUCGUCACAUGUACAUGCUUGUCACUCAAUAUUGUGCAAUCUCACCAGAUCUUAGGGGGUGUCCCCUCCAGAUAUUUUUUUUCUGGGAGGGGGGUCUGGAUUAAAGAUGAGCGCGGUGCAGGUAUCCGCGGGUACCCGCUCAAGUUUGUUCUUUGCGGGUACACAUUUCGGUGUCAUCGCGGUUAAGUUGCGGGUAGACCCGCACUACCUCCGCGGAUUACGCUGGUAUGCCCGCAAUACCCGCAGGCGCAAAACCAACCCGUCGGAUUUUGGUGUAUUACCCGAUUCAUGGCGAACAUUUGGCCCAAAAUACUUUCCAGACGUUCCAUAUCCAACUCGUCAUCUCAAAAUAAAGUUGUUGUUUGCCACAUAGGGUUAAGUUUGGCUAUUUUUUACACCAAGACUGGUACAUUUCGCAUCAGUAAGCUGGCAACCAUGUCAGCAGUGGCCACAGCGUACGCGUUGGAAAAGUGGCUCGCUAACGGACAGUAUCCUUAGUAGCAUCAAUAAAUCAUUUCGUGCUGUCACGAUCAUGUCACAUAACUGAAACAUGCGUACGCAUUGGGCUGCGGGUAUAUCGGCGGCUAAGCGGAUAGGCGUCGGGAUGUGCGGGUGCAGAUGCAGGUUGUGCCCCCGCGGUUGCGGUGCAGUUGCGGGUACGAAUUUUCAUACCUGCACUCAUCUCUAGUCUGGAUAAACCACUGAUGUAAGAUCAUUUGGAAGGUCGUUAAUGUAUAGUUAUGUUUCGCUUAUCAGGAUUUCACAUAUCUGGAAAACUUGCAUUACCGAGAACGAGCCUGCUACCAUAGGACUUGGUCCAGGUUACCCUGGAAGAAGACCAACUUUCUGAGACAUUAGCAGGUUGACUCAGUGCAUGCUGUGGGUGUGACCAGAAUUCUGUCACACAUUACUAUGAAUUGCAAUCAGCUCCCUUUGCAUGAUUUUUUAAAGUAACAAUCUUUUUUGUUGUUUCUUUUUCUGGAGCUAUAAAGGAGAUUUUCAAACUUGUCGGGUUCUCCCAGAAAGGGCUAAAGAUGGGACUGUUUGGUGGCAAUUACUUUCAAAUUGGUAAAAAUUCAUGUGCCAGGGAACAAACAAAAAAGGCACAGGGAGUAGGCGUGGGUAUCAAAUUUAAGGUUUUGCCGGAAGCUUGCUUGGUUCAGUUAUCUGGUAUCCAGAUGAAAACGGACGACUACAGAGGUGUCUGGAUAAUGAAAAAUGACUGUAUAUGAGAAAGAGAAGUGGUCCAAGGACAGAAUCUUGGCGAACUCCAGAGAGGACAAGCGUUAGACUGGAUUCAUUAUCGUUCAUAGAGACAAACUGUGAGCGAUUAGUCAAGGAAUGUAUCCAAGAUAGAAUUUUAUCAUCAAUGCCAAGAUUGUGCAAUUUAUGAAAAAAAGAAAGAAAAAAAAAAGAGAGAGUGUGAUACGUUAUUGGAUGCCUUCGAGAAGUCAAGAAAUCUGCAGUCGGUGCAGAACGUGUGAUCCAGUGUAACACUAAAGUCAUGAGCAAAGGAACUAGCCGCGUUUCACAACAAUUGUUUUUUUCUAAUACCGCGUUGAUAUGGAGAGGAGGAGGAACAGAAUUUUAGGUUUUAGAUAAUGUGCGCUAGUAUUGUACAUGAAAUUAUGGGUCAAUAAUUGCUGCUUCUCUUGCACAAUGCUUGUCUCCUGACAACAUCAGCAAUCUGAUGCACCAGCAUGCCUUCUGCUGAACUCCCCCUUCCAAUUUUACACUUUCUUUAUCUAUGAAUUCUAAGUCCAUAAAAGUAUCUGAUGGUUUGAGCCCAGUGUGUGUGUGGUUAACUUUCUUUUCUUAGCCAAACUCAAGUGCAUCUUUCUACAUGCACUGGUGUGCCUCAUAUUAUUUUCUUCAUGAACUUACCUUGAAUCUGUGUGAGGUAGAAAUAUUUUUAGCAUUGGAAAGAAACAUUGACAAGUGGUCCAAAGAUUUGUCACUAGAAUGUGCAAGUUUAGUGAUGAUUGCUCCAGACCGGAGCCGUAUUUUCAAAAUGUGGCCACUGAAUAAUGUAAAAUAAUGUGUAAAAUAUAAUAUAAAAUAAUGUUUUUCACAAUCUGUGAAUAAAAUAAUGAAGUGAAUGAGGUGAAAUUGAUUUCUGGAAUGCUUCAGAAUAGCUACAUAUAGUACAUUGACUUAAAUUGCAUCUCGGUGGAGGAGAAAUAUUUGUACCUAACAUCGGAAAGGGACAUGGGCAAAUGCUUCAGAAAUGGGCAUUGAGGAGA